AACACACCUAGUUAACCUCUUU
Molecule: microRNA, 22 nt
Filed under: Equus caballus (horse)
Lineage: Eukaryota; Metazoa; Chordata; Mammalia; Perissodactyla; Equidae
Source: RNAcentral